Alligator mississippiensis (American alligator) is the source of this 5112-nucleotide long non-coding RNA. RefSeq lists it as uncharacterized. NCBI's taxonomy places the organism in Eukaryota, Metazoa, Chordata, Crocodylia, Alligatoridae. The record is from RefSeq and is a predicted model, not a curated record. The transcript has 2 exons.
CUCCCAAGGUGACUUUAGAAAGACGAGUCUCUUGCCUUUCCUUGGACCCUCUCCCAUCCCAGAUCUCCACCUGGUAAGAAGUAGCCAGGGGAGGUGGCACGGUAGAAGAGAGAAAUUGUUUGCCUGGGGCGGGGGGUGUCAUCUGCAGAUUUUGCUGUCACCCAAUGGUUCCCGCCGUCAGCCCCAUGGUUUCCUUCCAGCUAAGGAGGGCUGGGUCGUACGUUCGGCGUGCUCAAAUGUCUGGGGGCUGCACAAGGCUAUUUUACUCUGAGCACAUCUGCCAGCCGCCCAGCUCUGCAGUCAGCCAGCGAGUACAUCUUGUUUGUGUUUUGCUGCGAGCGCGCUCUCCGCGGGUUAUGUCAGAGGUGAGGAAUGCGGGCCACCCUCUGCCAUGAGAUCAGGCUCACAUCUUUAGGCUGAACAUUUGACCGUAUUUUCUGGAAAGCACAACGCACCUUUCACUGGCACGGGGGUUUGGAGGACACGUUCCUGUCCCCUGCUCCAGUGCAUCUGAUAAGCUGAGUGGAACAAGGAUUAUUCCUAAAAACAAGGAGAAAAGACAUGCUGAUGAAUAAAUAAGAAGGAAAGAAAAGCAACUCAAGGCAGUCACACACGAGCCCCAGGAGCUUGGAAAAGGCUAUGGACAGGCCGCUACAGAUAUCACAUCCCUUUGAGAGCACUUGCCCAAUUCUUUUAAUAUUUUCACCUCAAUUUCUACUGCAGGCUCCAAACCCUCAUUGUAUUAUUUAUUGCUGCCUCUGUAGCCUAGGAGAUAAAUGAACGUGGUCAUGAUUUAUGGACUCUCCUUGUAGAACAUUUUGUUCUGAUUGUUUGGUUUUGGUGUGAACAAACUCCCAAUAAUUAAAGAUGAGCUCAGGCUACAGAACUCAAUACUGGAUUUCAAAUAGCCCAAAUGCAAGGAGCAUCCGGAUCAGGUAUUUUUGGUUCACUCCAUUGGAAGGAUGGGAUCCAUUAGCAAAACCUGGAUGCAAAGUCUGAAUAAAUUGAAAGUAAAAACAACGAGGCCCACAUAGAGUAGUUUCAUAGUUGUUAGGGGCUGGAAGGGACCUUACUGAUCAUCGGCUGCAGCCAAGUAUGAAGUCAAAUUGCUAAUGAAAUCACAGAAUCAACUUGGUAAAAAGACCCCAGAUCUUAUUAUUAUUUCCCAUUUCUCAUCUACAGCAUGGUCUAUAACCCAGAUGUUACUGCUAAUAUUUUUUUAUCAUUCCUGCUACUGAUGGUAACUACAGAGGGGGCUGCAGAGUAGCCGAGACAUCAACUUGGACGAACCUUGAACAAGAUUGAAUGGCAGAAUUCUUAAAAUUGCCUGUUUCACAUCUCCUGGUAUCACCCCCACCAAAUCAUGUCACUGCUGCUAAUCUUCCCAGCCUGCAAAAGAAGAAUAAAGAUGCUUGCCUACUUUGUAUAGCACCUCAACACCGAGUGAUGGGAAGCACUACACAAAGGCCGAGCACUUACCUUUAGUGCAGUGCUAAUCUGUGCAAGUCUCAGGAGCACUAAGAAAUUGCACUGGCAGGAUCCCCUAUGGAAAAGGCAAUGAUUCCUGUUGUGUUUGACAGCUAAAGAGUCCAGAGUAAUACCAGCUCACACCCAGUCCCUAGCAUGCAGGGUGCGUGUGUGUGUCUGCUGCAUACAAUGACUAAGUCAUGAUGUGGGAGCUGUCCGUCCUGCCAGCUGAACCAAAAAGGAAGCCUUUGACUGGCCAAGGUAGCAAGGAUAGCACUGGUGUAUAGCUACAGAGAUGACCGACUGCUCCUUCAGAGAAUCCCCUGUGUGUCUAUGUUGCAGACUAAGAGCUGAUAUGGGCCAGUGCAGCAGCAGGGAGCACCCAACACAGAGGCAGACUGCGCGGAGUACUGCUCACACCUGCAUGCCGGCUGGUACACUGCAAUGGCAGGGAUCUGUGGCAGCAAACUGAGCUCCCUGGGUUCAAACCUCAGGUCUUUCUGAGAGCCCAUAUACUGGGAGUUGAGGGCCCCACUGUGGCUCCUGGCUGGCCGUGGAGCAGGACAUUUCUAUCCACCUUCUACUCCAUGAGUAUCAAGGCAACAUCGACUUCACUGGGCCGGCCAUGUCAGCCGGAUGUCUGACUCUAGACUCCUGAAGCAAGUUUUAUUCUCCCAGCUGAGCCAAGGGUGUAUGCUCAAAAGGAGGGCAGAGAAAGCACUUCAGGGAUGUCCUCAAGGCCAACAUAAAAAAAUGCAACAUCCAUGUCAACUCGUGGGAAACUAUCACCCAGGACCACCCCAAAUGGAGGAAGAGUCUGCUACAGGGAUCUCAGUACUUUGAAACCUCACAAUAACAAGAAGAGAUGGAAAAGUGAGAGCGGCAAGAACAGAGCAUCGUGGACCGAACCAAGAAUCCAGCGCCACCCACCCCACAUGGAAACACAUGUCCGAGCUGCAGUAGAGUCUGCCGAUCCUGGAUAGGUGUCAUCAGCCACCUUCAGACACACAGAUAAGACAGUGAUGGAAGACAAUCAGCCUCGACUGCAAGGGAUUGCCGAAGAAGACUCAGCCACAGAAACAGACUUCAUUUCUCUAUAUGCUCCUCAUUGCUGCGGGAAGAGAAAAGGGAGGGUAUUAGAGAAGCAAUUGCUGCAGCAGCUUUGCUUCCUGGGAAGUUCGGAAUUGCACCAACUCCAGGACAGGAAAAGGAAUAUAUUCAAGUCGUUCCUCCCAGAGAGGGCUGACUUACAAUGAAUUCAGUAAUAACGAAGUGACUGUCACAUGCGUCUACUCAGGGACCUGGCUCGCUGCAAGAGAACAGAAGCAUGACAGGUACAUACAUACACCGCCUGUGCAAAGGUUAACAAUGUUUUCCCUUUCAAGCCCUUUGUAUAAAAGUGACCGGGAAUGUCCCUUCAAAGAGAGCUGAGCUGAGCAUCAUCCGAUCCUAGAACAUGACGAGCAUCUCACACUCCCCAGAGGAAAACCAAAGGAAAGCCCCUGAACUUCAGAAGUGCCAAAAGGAUGAGCAAUGGCAUGGGGUUUGGUCCGAGAAGAAUGGGCUGAGCCACAUUAGGGUAUUUCCAUUCACCCUGGCACCUUCUUGAAGGCAGAACAUGUAACUUAAGCUUCUCCGUGGAUGUCCCACCCUCACUCCAUCUCUCUGCAGUUGAAAGUCAAUCCUAUACAGCACUUGAAGGGCAGCAUCUGCCACCCAGUGGCCCACUAUACUGUGGCCCCUCCAGUUCUGAAUCAGCUUCGGUCUAUCACACUCAUCAUGGAGGAGAAUUUCACCUUAGGAGAAAGCAUCUGUAGAGACACUGACAUUUGAAGUCUGGACAUUUCUGGAGCUGUAGAGCUCUCUGCUACUAACCCUGUGCCUACAGGCAGUAUCAGGGGUGCCAUUUGAUACACAGUGCCACAUACCGUCCUCCUGGGAAUGAGCAUGAAGGGCUCAAGCAUUGAUUUUCUCGCAGUGCUCUGGGAAGAUGCCAGAUUGUCAGAUGAGGAGACUGCAGUUGUCUCACUCUUUGCAAAGUAAUUAGAAUAACCACAGGUUUUCUGCAGGCUUUUCCCACUCCACUUUCCUAAGGUGCAUCGGCGUGGCCAGCCUGACCUCUUGCCCAGAAAUAAGGCCUCCCACAGACUCACAGACCACGGGGGAGCCUGAGCUCUGCUCCAUCGUGGGCUUGGGACCGGCGCUGAUACACUGAGUUAGAAGUGCUCCUUCUCAAAGGGUAGAGGGUAGUUUAGUCUUCAUUCCAGCUGGUCUUGGGCUUCUUCACAGAAGAAGUUGGUGGCAUUUGCGGCACAGAAAACUAUUUGCUAUGAGGUGCUAGCUCAUUUCAUCCAGGCCACAGAAGAGCUAGUUAGAUAUUAACAGCCUUCAAUCACUAUUAACCUGGACCAAAUUCAUCCCAGCGGCUUGGAAGUACAGUCUACCCGCUCUGGUCCUCUAAGGCAGCCUUUGCCCUGUGAAGGACAUGUACUGGCUGGGUUCUCCUUUACCGCAGGUUGAAAGGUGGGAGAUAGCAAAGAGAAAUGAGGAACACAGCCCAUGAUAAAGGAAUGAUAAUAUCAUCUUGGCUUUUACAUAUAUGGUGCUUGGUGGGAUAGACAUGGACACAAGAUGUCACAACAGUAUGAGAUACCAUGUUUUAAAAGCAUUGUGCAGGACCUGGGCAGGGAGGUAAAGCUGCUAUAGACCCAGGGCAAGUUAAUGGACUUCUCUGCAUGAUGCAAUGGUCUAACAUACGCUGGAGGCAAUUAAAUGAUUACUCUAAGCCCCUAAUGCUCGAAUUAAGUGGGAUCCAUGCAGGAAGGCCAUACGAACAGCUUCUCGGUGAAGAACACCAGAGCACACAGUCAAAAGGCCACGGCAUCCUUUCAGGCUACUAGUGGAGAUGCUGCAGCUGAUUUGCCAGGCUGGGAAGGUAGAGAUCAAAAGUAAUAAAAAGGGCCUCGAUCCCUGCAGUAAUGGUGAGUUGAGAGAGCGAGCUCAGGUAUUGUCAGGGAGGUCCAACAGGAGGAAAGCGGGCACCGGGACAGGCUCUGUAGGUGAGUUUGUCUUUCAGGGUCCCUAGAGAGAAGCUGGUUAGAUGCCCAGGAAGCAGACAUACAUGUUGUCCAUUUUACUGUUUUUAAGAUCCAUUUCCUAUGAAAAGCUUUUGUUCUAAGUAAAUGAUGCUUUGCUCACAGGAGGCUAUUUGAUCACUGGUUACCCCAUUAUUGCUCUGUAGGGAACAGGCCUGGAAGGUGUGUGCCUAAACCAAGCCUGCUGGAGCAGUCACUGAUGAAUAGCAGAGACCAAGUGACAGGCAGAGAUGCCCAAGGGCUGAGAGAUGCUGAGACCAGGAGUGGUAAUGGGUGCAGCUCUUCUAGUGACUGUGACCCCUAUGGCCUGAGCCUACUGCAGCACUUUACAAAAGUGGGUUUUAGUGGCCAGGAGUUAGCUUGCACCUCUGCAUCAGCAAAGGAAACUGGGCAAGCUAAGCUACCAUAUGCAUAAAUCCUGCCUUUCUCAGUUACCCUGGGGUGGCCAUCUGCUGCUGGUCCCCACCGAGGAGGUGCUUUAUUGUGCCCUACUUAAAAAAUGUGUCUCAAUGAAAGUCUUGCAAUUAAAAGUCAACUCAGAGUCACUGCA